GACGAACGCUGGCGGCGUGCUUAACACAUGCCAGUCGAACGGAAAGGCCCUUCGGGGUACUCGAGUGGCGAACGGGUGAGUAACACGUGGGUGAUCUGCCCUGCACUUUGGGAUAAGCCUGGGAAACUGGGUCUAAUACCGAAUAGGACCACGCGCUUCAUGGUGUGUGGUGGAAAGCUUUUGCGGUGUGGGAUGGGCCCGCGGCCUAUCAGCUUGUUGGUGGGGUAAUGGCCUACCAAGGCGACGACGGGUAGCCGGCCUGAGAGGGUGACCGGCCACACUGGGACUGAGAUACGGCCCAGACUCCUACGGGAGGCAGCAGUGGGGAAUAUUGCACAAUGGGUGCAAGCCUGAUGCAGCGACGCCGCGUGAGGGAUGACGGCCUUCGGGUUGUAAACCUCUUUCACCAGGGACGAAGCGUAAGUGACGGUACCUGGAGAAGAAGCACCGGCCAACUACGUG
RNAcentral lists this ribosomal RNA (462 nucleotides) under uncultured bacterium. RNAcentral's name for it is "partial 16S ribosomal RNA". It matches the Rfam family "Bacterial small subunit ribosomal RNA", at positions 28 to 507 of the family's 1533-position model. The record is from RNAcentral.